CGUGUAGGCGGUCGGUUAAGUCUGAUGUGAAAGCCCCGAGGCUCAGCUUCGGAAGUGCAUCGGAAACUAGCUGGCUGGAGCGCGAUAGAGGAGGGUGGAAUUCCUGGUGUAGCGGUGAAAUGCGUAGAUAUCAGGAGGAACACCGGCGGCGAAGGCGGCCCUCUGGAUCGUUGCUGACGCUGAGACGCGAAAGCGUGGGGAGCAAACAGGAUUAGAUACCCUGGUACGUCCACCGCUGUAAACUAUGGGUACUAGGUGUUCGGGGUAUUGACCCCCCUGAGUGCCGCAGUUAACGCAUUAAGUACCCCGCCCUGGGGCUACGGCCGCGAAGGUUAAA
Molecule: ribosomal RNA, 337 nt
Filed under: uncultured bacterium
Lineage: Bacteria
Description: bacterial SSU rRNA
Rfam family: Bacterial small subunit ribosomal RNA
Source: RNAcentral